Molecule: non-coding RNA, 96 nt
Organism: Paramarasmius palmivorus
Lineage: Eukaryota; Fungi; Basidiomycota; Agaricomycetes; Agaricales; Marasmiaceae
Source: the annotation of a GenBank genome assembly
GGUUCGAUGGCGUAGUUGGUUAUCGCAUCUGUCUAACAUGUCCAUAUCCCACUGGACCAGCACAGAAGGUCCCCAGUUCGAGCCUGGGUCGAAUCA